UUAAACUUAGGGCAUCUUUUGUGCCAGAAAAAAAGAAAGUUGUGGAAGGCCAGGGGGAUCUUCUCAAAAGUACAGAGAGCCAACGUGACAGGCCACCACUGGGAUAAAAGGGGACAGCUUGAGCGUGAAAAUACAGUGACCCCAGUAGUUGAAACAUAUCAGGUAUAUAAAAUACAUAGUUCUUCAUGAAAAAAAAAAAAAAGGAAAGCAUAAGAGAACUCUUCCUGGAAUGCAUGAAGCAGCAGUGUUAGGUCAUUGCCGUGGAAUACAAAUCCUGACACCAUUUCUAAAUGCCACUAUGUUCAUUCACCCUGGAAUAGAACCCCUUGCCUUUGGCUCUUUCAGUCAAGGGAACGGUUUCUGGGGAGCAUCUUUUGUGAGGUCUGUCCUUAGCUUGCCAGCAGGGCUGCACUUGGAUGCUCUGUGUCACAUCCAGCUCUCUGACUCUUAUUGUUCUUGUCGUGGCGCUUAAUUAAGCAAAAUCCUGGCAUAAACAAUAUAGUCAUGGAAUGCCGGGGAUAAUAAAAAGGGCAUGUUGAGAAGCAGCAGGCAUUUACUGGAAAGUUUAAAAUAUGAUUCUUAUGAGAUCUUCCAAAGUCAGAGAUUUCCUAAGAGUUAUUUUGAAUCACCUGAGUCGCUUCUUAUCCCUAGUAAGUGCUAUUGGUGACAAGCUGGUGGUAAAUCAUUGUGUUUUGAAGACACCAUAUGGAUGUCUCUCUGCCUUUGGUCACCACUCACAUCCCACUUUAAACUCUUUUUUUUCUGCCUUUUAGGGCCACGCCUACAGCAUAUGGAGGUUCCCAGGCUAGGUGGUAGAAUCCGAGCUGCACCUGACGCCUACACCACAGCUCACAGCAACGCGAGGUCCUUAACCCACUGAGUGAGGCCAGGAUACUAGUUGGGUUCCUAACCCUCUGAGCCACUAUAGGAACUCCCCCUGCUUUAAACUCUUAAAUGGGAGUUUCCUAGUGGCUCAGCAGUUCAAGGAUUUGGCAUUGUCACUUCCGUGGUUCUGGUCACUGCUGUGACUUGGGCUCGAUUUCUGGCCUGGGAAUUUCCACUUGCCUUGGGUGUCCCCCCCCCCCACAAAAAAAAAACCCUUACAGUAGCUUUGUACUGAUCUUUCUCCUUGCUAGUCUCAUCUUCCUCAAAUCCAUCUUCAAACUGUAGUUUGGCCAGUGGUUAUCAUAAACCAUCACUUCAUGCCUCUAUCAUACAAUGAUUGUAUUGUAAUGAAAUUACUCUUUUGCUGUGUCUGUCCCCCUAAUAGACUGAUCUCCUUGAGGCAGGGAGCUGCCCUUUUGUCUUGAAUUCUUAGUGUCCAGUGUCACCCAACUGGUGUGGGCGCUAAAUAUUACAAGUCAUUUCCCAGACCCUUCAUACCAUCAAUGCUCCCCUUUACAUAAGAGGGGAAAGAAACAUUCAGACCUACUUUUUGCUCUGAAUCUGAGUUGGAGGUUGGGUUGGCAGCAUUUGAAAGCAGAACUUAUUAGAUCUUCAGAGAACUUAUAAUGGCUUUGUCAACAGAUGCUCUUGGAAGGGUUGGGGGGAAAAAAUGCUCAAGCAAAAGAUGAAAGCUAUCAAGAUUCCUCAGGCUUAAAAUCUGUUUAUCACCCUCUGACUCACUUGAAAAGGAGAGUGGGGCAUUUGCCAGUAUUUGAUCACCGGUCUUUUCUCAAUUGUUAUAUCUGCUAUUAUUUUAACAUCUAGGAUUAAGGACUUAUUUAGCCCUUGAGAUGCUAGGUAAUGCCUCUUAACCACAACUGCAAAACAGGCAUCUGCCCCCAGCUGAGUCUUCACCUCACAUUACCUAAGGAACCCUUGUCAUCCCUGAGGAAAGGCUGGGUUACAGCAGGGAUCCCCACAUUGUCAUGCAUCAGAAUCACCUGUAGGCUUAUAAAGCACGGAUAACCUGGGCCCCAACCCUCCUUCCAGCCUGAGUCUCUGAAUGCCGAGGUCUGGGUUAAGGCUUAAGAAUCUGUAUUUCUGGAGUUCCCAUUGUAGCCCAAUGAUUAACGAACCUGACUAGCAUCCAUGCGGACUCAGGUUCAAUCCCUGACCUCGCUCAGUGGGUUAAGGAUCUAGUGUUGCCUUGAGCUGUGGUGUAGGUCGCAGACGCAGCUCAGAUCCCCCGUUGCUGUGACUCUGGUGUAGGCUGGUGGCUAAAGCUCUGAUUUGACCCCUAGCCUGGGAACCUCCAUAUGCCGUAGGUGUGGCCCUAAAAGACAAAAAAAAAGGGGGGGGGAAUCUGCAUUUUUAACAGGUUCCUGCAGAGGCUGCAGCUGCCAGUCCAGAAACCACACUCUGAGAAACAUGGGGUACGGGGUAUGAGGCUUCUCUAAUUUCAGUGUCCCUGUGAAUUACCUGGGCAUGAGGUUCAUAUGCAGCUUUUGCUUCAUUGGGUCUGGGCUGGGGGGUCAAGGUUCUAUAUUUCUAAGAAGAAUCCAAAUUGCUAUUGGUCUUGGACCACUUUUAAGUUCUCUUCUCUGGCUGAUUAUUAGAAUCUUCUGAAAGGUUUACAAAAUAGUGCUGCCCAGAAAUUCCACAAGAUUCUGCUCUAAUGGGCCUGCAUAGGGGCCCAGAAAUCUGUAUUUUUAAUGAGCCACCCCAGAUAGUUCUAUUACAGAUGAUCCAUGGUCCACAUUGGAAGAGAAACUGGUCUAGAAAGGACAAAUUCAUUUGUGGAAUGUUUCUAUCAAUGCGGCUGUCUAAAAAUAUAUACACUACUUGUAGAAUAUAUUUAAAAGACUAUUACAUUUCAUUGUUCCUAAGGUGCCCUUUUUCAUAUUUUGAUAUCCGUAAAAUUGGAAGACCUCUCACCACCAGUGGGGCUUACAGCAGUAUUGGCAGCAUUUUAUUUCUCUCUGGUACCUAAGGUGACUGAUAGAUAAAAUACAGAGGUCCUUACUCUAUGAAAUUCAGCAUAUUAACUUUAAAUGAUUUGAAGAAACACAAAUAAACAGGGCUUAUUCACAAUAUAUCAGUACUUUUGGGGACUAAUUCGAUUUUCAUCACAUGAGAAGUUUUUAAAAUACAUCAAAAGUGUUUGCACUUUCCCUUCCCUUUCCACGGAAGAGGGUAUCUGUUGUGUGAGGAACAGGAGUGAAGUGUGGAGAGGCGAUGUAGGAAGAGAAAAAGGCCAAAACACCCUCAGAGGGCCCUGGACCAAGAUGGAAGUGAGAUCGAAGCUGGCCAGAGGCGACAAGAAGGGCUGGUUUGGGACGAGGAGUCUGAGUGUGAGCCUGGGAACCCGUCCCACCCCUGAGCCACAUCUCCAGAAACCCAUGUUCCUUCCCAAUUCUUUAAACUUAAUGUGUGUGAGAGAUAAGGUGGCCUGAAAUAGUCAGAUCACCUGGACAUUAAAAGUAGCGUUUGUUUGCUCUCCUUUCUCUUUGAGGGUAGGCAGGCUCCCUGGACAUACAUCUCCUUUAACUUAGGGCUUCAAAAAAUUAAUUCUGCAUCUUUACAAUGGCAUUUCCAAAGAGUGUGUAAAAUGUUUAUGGACAUGAAGGAGAAAAAUCACAUGCGUAGAUGAUGGAUGGAUGGAUAAAUAAAUAGAAAGAAAAUCUAUAGGUGAUAUACAGAUAGAUGAUUAAAUGAUAGAUUUCUAAUGUUAAGGAAGAGAAGACCUAU
RNAcentral lists this long non-coding RNA (3633 nucleotides) under Sus scrofa (pig). RNAcentral's name for it is "lncRNA (ENSSSCG00030057720.1)". The record is from RNAcentral. Lineage: Eukaryota; Metazoa; Chordata; Mammalia; Artiodactyla; Suidae.